Molecule: ribosomal RNA, 500 nt
Filed under: uncultured microorganism
Description: bacterial SSU rRNA
Rfam family: Archaeal small subunit ribosomal RNA
Source: RNAcentral
AGUGGGUGUAACGUACCUACUAGCCGACGACGGGUACGGGUUGUGAGAGCAAGAGCCCGGAGAUGGAUUCUGAGACAUGAAUCCAGGCCCUACGGGGCGCAGCAGGCGCGAAAACUUUACAAUGCGGGAAACCGCGAUAAGGGGACACUGAGUGCCAGCAUACAAUGUUGGCUGUCCGCAUGUAUAAAUAGCAUGUGUUAGCAAGGGCCGGGCAAGACCGGUGCCAGCCGCCGCGGUAACACCGGCGGCCCGAGUGGUGGCCACUAUUAUUGGGUCUAAAGGGUCCGUAGCCGGUUUGAUCAGUCCUCCGGGAAAUCUGACAGCUCAACUGUUAGGCUUCCGGGGGAUACUGUCAGACUUGGGACCGGGAGAGGUAAGAGGUACUACAGGGGUAGGAGUGAAAUCUUGUAAUCCUUGUGGGACCACCAGUGGCGAAGGCGUCUUACCAGAACGGGUCCGACGGUGAGGGACGAAAGCUGGGGGCACGAACCGGAUUAGAU